Molecule: small nuclear RNA, 112 nt
Organism: Diceros bicornis minor
Lineage: Eukaryota; Metazoa; Chordata; Mammalia; Perissodactyla; Rhinocerotidae
Source: RefSeq, a predicted model, not a curated record
GUGCUCACUUUGGCAGCACAUAUACUAAAAUAGGAACAAUACAGAGACCAUUAGCAUGGAUAUCCUUCUGCGCAAGGAUAAAAUGCAGAUUCAUGAAGGAGUCUAUAUUUUU